CACUCCUGCGGGAGGCAGCAGUGGGGAAUAUUGGACAAUGGGCGCAAGCCUGAUCCAGCCAUGCCGCGUGAGUGAUGAAGGCCCUAGGGUUGUAAAGCUCUUUCACCGGUGAAGAUAAUGACGGUAACCGGAGAAGAAGCCCCGGCUAACUUCGUGCCAGCAGCCGCGGUAAUACGAAGGGGGCUAGCGUUGUUCGGAUUUACUGGGCGUAAAGCGCACGUAGGCGGACUAUUAAGUCAGGGGUGAAAUCCCGGGGCUCAACCCCGGAACUGCCUUUGAUACUGGUAGUCUUGAGUUCGAGAGAGGUGAGUGGAAUGCCGAGUGUAGAGGUGAAAUUCGUAGAUAUUCGGAGGAACACCAGUGGCGAAGGCGGCUCACUGGCUCGAUACUGACGCUGAGGUGCGAAAGCGUGGGGAGCAAACAGGAUUAGAUACCCCAGUAGUCCC
RNAcentral lists this ribosomal RNA (446 nucleotides) under uncultured organism. Its description in RNAcentral is "partial 16S ribosomal RNA". It matches the Rfam family "Bacterial small subunit ribosomal RNA", at positions 334 to 797 of the family's 1533-position model. The record is from RNAcentral.